AGAAAGGCUUAUGGUGGAUAACUAGGUACCCAGAGACGAGGAAGGGCAUAGUAAGCGACGAAAUGCUUCGUGGAGUAGAAAAUAAGCAUAGAUAUGAGGAUUCCUAAUAUAGGUCAACCUUUCGAACUGCAACUGAAUCUAUGGGCAGGCAAGAGACAACAUGGUGAACUAAAACAUCUUGGUAGCUAGAGGAAAAGAAAGCAAAAGCGAUUCCCAUAGUAGCGGCGAGCAAAAUGGGAGCAACCUAAAUCGUGAAAACGGGGUUGUGAGAGAGCUAUACAAGUGUCGUGCUGCUAGGCGAAGCAGCAGAGAAUGCUGCACCCUAAAUGGCGAGAGUCCAGUAGCCGAAAGCAUCACUAGCUUACACUCUGACCCGAGUAGCAUGGGCAUGUGGAAUCUCGUGUGAAUCAGCAAUGACCACCUUGGAAGGCAAAAUACUCCUGGGUUACUGAUAGUGAAGUAGUACCCGUGAGGGAAGGGUGAAAAGAACCCUCAUCGGGGAUUGAAAUAGAACAUGAAACUGUAAGCUCCCAUGCAGUGGGAGGAGGCUCGAGACUCUGAUCGCAUGCCUGUUGAAGAAUGAGUCGGUGACUCAUAGGCAGUGGCUUGGUUAAGGGAAACCACCGGAGCCGUAGCGAAAGCGAGUCUUCAUAGGGCAAUUGUCACUGCUUAUGGACCCAAACCUGGGUGAUCUGUCCAUGACCAAGAUGAAGCUUGGGUGAAACUAAGAGGAGGUCCGAACUGACUAAUGUUGAAGAAUCAGUGGAUAAGUUGUGGUUAGGGGUGAAAUGCCACUCGAACCCAGAGCUAGCUGGUUCUCCCUAAAAUCCGUUGAGGUGCAGUAGUUUACUAGACAUCUAGGGGUAAAACACUGUUUCGGUGCGGGCCAUGAGAGCGGUACCAAAUCGAGGCAAACUCUAAUACUAGAUAUGACCUCAAAAUAACAAGGGUCAAGGUCGGCCAGUGAGACGAUGGGGGAUAAGCUUCAUCGUCAAGAGGGAAACAGCCCAGAUCACCAGCUAAGGCCCCUAAAUGACCGCUCAGUGAUAAAGGAGGUAGGGGUGCAGAGACAACCAGGAGGUUUUCCUAGAAGCAGCCACCCUUGAAAGAAUGCAUAAUAGCUCACUGAUCGAGCGCUCUUGUGCCGAAGAUGAACGGGGCUAAGCGAUCUGCCAAAGCUGUGGGGUGUAAAAAUGAAUCGGUAGGGGAGUGUACCAUCUUAGAGGGAAGGACCCAUGCGAGUAGUGCUGGACGAAGCAGAAGCGGGAAUGUUGGCUUGACUAACGCAAACGUUGGUAAGAAUCCAAUGCCUCGAAAACCCAAGGGUUCCUUCGUAAGGUUCAUCCACGGAGGGUGAGUCAAGGCCUAAGAUCCGGCCGAAGGGCGUAGUCGAUGGACAAAAGGUGAAUAUUCUUGUACUACCCUUUAUUGGACUCGAGGGAUGGAGGAGGCUAGGUUAGCCAAAAUAUGGUUAUCGGUUCAAGGACGCAAGGUGCCCCUGCUUUUUCAGAGUAAUAAGGGUAGAUAAAAUGCGUUGAGCCAAAGUUCGAGUACCAAGCGCUACAGCGCUGAAGUAAUCCAUGCCAUACUUCUAGGUAAAGCUUAAAUGACCUUCAAUAAAUGGGUACUUGUACCCGAAACCAACACAGGUGGGUAGGUAAAGAAUACCUAGGGGCACGAGACAACUCUCUCUAAGGAACUCAGCAAAAUAGCCCCGUAACUUCGAGAGAAGAGGUGCCUCCUCACAAAGGAGGUCGUUGUGACUAGGCUCGGGUGAUUGUUUACCAAAAACACAUGUCUCCGCAAAGUCGUAAGACCAUGUAUGGGGGCUGACACCUGCCAAGUGCCGGAAGGUCAAGGAAGUUAGUGACCAGAUGACAGGGGAUCCGAUGACCGAAGCCUCGGUGAACGGCGACCGUAACUAUAACGUCUUAAGGUAGCGCAAUUCCUUGUCAGGUAAGUUCCAACCCGCAUGAAAGGCAUAAUGAUUUGGGCACUGCCUCGGAGAGAGACUCGGUGAAAUAGACAUGUUUGUGAAGAUGCGGACUACCUGCACUUGGACAGAAAGACCAUAUGAAGCUUCACUAUUUCCUGGGAUUGGCUUUGGGCUUUUCCUGCGUAGCUUAGGUGGAGGGCAAAGAAGGCUUCUUUCUUAGGGGGGGGGGGGGGGGGGCGAACCCUUAGUGAGAUACCACUCUAGAAGAGCUAGAAUUCUAACCUUGUUCCAGGACCUACGAGCCGAGGGAUAGUCUCAGGUAGAUAGUUUCUAUGGGGCGUAAGCCUCCCUAAAGGUAACGGAGGCGUGCAAAGGUUUCCUCAGGCCAGACGGAGUUUGGCCCUCGAGUGCAAAGGCAGAAGGGAGCUUGAUUGCAAGACCCACCCGUCGAUUAUGGACAAAAGUCGGUCUUAAUGAUCUGACGAUGCCGAGUGGAAGGGCCAUCGCUCAAUGGAUAAAAGUUACUCUAGGGAUAACAGACUGAUCUUCCCUAAGAUCUCACAUGGAUGGGAAGGUUUGGCACCUCGAUGUCGGCUCUUCGCCACCUGAGGCUGUAGUAUGUUCCAAGGGUUUGGUUGUUCGCCCAUUAAAGCGGUACGUGAGCUGGGUUUAGAACGUCAUAAGAUAGUUCGGUCCAUAUCCAAUGUGGGCUUUAGAGCAUUGAGAGGACCUUUCCCUAGUAUGAGAGGGUCGGGAAGGACGCACCUCUAGUGUGCCAGUUAUUGUACCCACGAUAAACGCUGGGUAGCCAAGUACGAAAUGGAUAACUGCUGAAAGCAUCUAAGUAGUAAACCCACCCCAAGAUGAGUGUUCUUCUAUCCCGACUUCCCCAGAGCCUCCGAUAGCACAGCCGAGACAACAAUGGAUUCUCUGCCCCGGCAGGGAUGGAGCGAAAGAAGUUUUGAGAAUUCAAGAGAAGGUCAAGGCGAGACGAAAAUAUGAUGUAUGUUUUGUUUUUCCAUUGUUACAUUUUGACCUGCUUAAUAAUUAUCGACUGUUACAUAAAUU
Molecule: ribosomal RNA, 3004 nt
Filed under: Glycine max (soybean)
Lineage: Eukaryota; Viridiplantae; Streptophyta; Magnoliopsida; Fabales; Fabaceae
Description: bacterial LSU rRNA
Rfam family: Bacterial large subunit ribosomal RNA
Source: RNAcentral